This 427-nucleotide ribosomal RNA is filed under the name uncultured bacterium. RNAcentral's name for it is "bacterial SSU rRNA". It matches the Rfam family "Bacterial small subunit ribosomal RNA", at positions 355 to 774 of the family's 1533-position model. The record is from RNAcentral.
UGGGGAAUUUUGGACAAUGGGCGAAAGCCUGAUCCAGCAAUGCCGCGUGUGUGAAGAAGGCCUUCGGGUUGUAAAGCACUUUUGUCCGGAAAGAAAUCCUUGGCUCUAAUACAGUCGGGGGAUGACGGUACCGGAAGAAUAAGCACCGGCUAACUACGUGCCAGCAGCCGCGGUAAUACGUAGGGUGCGAGCGUUGAUCGGAAUUACUGGGCGUAAAGCGUGCGCAGGCGGUUUGCUAAGACCGAUGUGAAAUCCCCGGGCUCAACCUGGGAACUGCAUUGGUGACUGGCAGGCUAGAGUAUGGCAGAGGGGGGUAGAAUUCCACGUGUAGCAGUGAAAUGCGUAGAGAUGUGGAGGAAUACCGAUGGCGAAGGCAGCCCCCUGGGCCAAUACUGACGCUCAUGCACGAAAGCGUGGGGAGCAAACA